AUUGAACGCUGGCGGCAUGCUUUACACAUGCAAGUCGAACGGCAGCGCGGGCUUCGGCCUGGCGGCGAGUGGCGAACGGGUGAGUAAUGCAUCGGAACGUGCCCAGUAGUGGGGGAUAGCCCGGCGAAAGCCGGAUUAAUACCGCAUACGACCUGGGGGUGAAAGCGGGGGACCGAAAGGCCUCGCGCUAUUGGAGCGGCCGAUGUCGGAUUAGCUAGUUGGUGGGGUAAAGGCUUACCAAGGCGACGAUCCGUAGCUGGUCUGAGAGGACGACCAGCCAAACUGGGAAUGGGAAACGGCCAAGACCCCAAGGGGAGGCAGAAGGGGGGAAUUUGGGAAGAGGGGGGAAACCCUGAACCAGCAAGGCGGGGGGGGGGAAGAAGGCCUGCGGGUUGAAAACCGUUUUUUUGGGGGAAAAAAUCCUCGGGGCUAAAACCCCGGGGGGAGGACGGUACGGGAAGAAUAAGCACCGGCAAACAACG
This 482-nucleotide ribosomal RNA is filed under the name uncultured bacterium. RNAcentral's name for it is "partial 16S ribosomal RNA". It matches the Rfam family "Bacterial small subunit ribosomal RNA", at positions 29 to 505 of the family's 1533-position model. The record is from RNAcentral.